This is a non-coding RNA of Setomelanomma holmii, 140 nucleotides long. Lineage: Eukaryota; Fungi; Ascomycota; Dothideomycetes; Pleosporales; Phaeosphaeriaceae. The record is from the annotation of a GenBank genome assembly.
GGGCCGGUAACUCAGUGGUAGAGGUUGGUACACCUGCAUCUAAAUAUUUCAGUAACAUGAUCUAACUCCUUCUCAGUGUAGGACUGCAGUUCACCAAAACCGUCUUCCCGAAGUCACCGGUUCGACUCCGGUUCGGCCCU